CCCCAAUGGGUUCUCCGGAUUUCUGGAGACUUGUAGGGGUUGUGGGAUUUUUGAUGUGUCGUCUCCGGACGGGCGGUGCAGGGUAGUCGAGUUAGACUUGGUGGAAUUCCGUCGAUAGGAGUUCCGUCGAGUCUGGUCGGCUGUGUGUUGGACGGUGCAGGGUAGGCUGCUUGGACAUGGUCGGUUCGAGGAUCGAUUCGAGGGCCGGCCUGUCGAUGAUGUGUGAUGUAUGCGGUCUAGGGUAGGCUGGUUUGUCUUGGUUCAAUUUGAUGUCGGUUCCCGUGCAGGCCAGAGUGAGUGGGGUCCAGGGUAGGUACAGGGUAGGCAGCUUAGAUUUGGUCGAUCUGGAGGUCGAUUCUCCGGCUGGCGGAUCUGACACUGUUGAAACGAGAUGCGAGCGGUGUAGGGUAGGCUAGUUUCGUCCUCGCCAGGUUGCGAUUUGGACGAGAUAUGUGGUUUAGGGUAGGCUCUAGGGUAAGUAGAAUUCGAGUUUCGUCGCCGACAGUUUUCUGUGAGUGUAUGGUAGGUACAGGGUAGGCAAAUCUCUCUCCGGCCAGUACUUGUCUGGUGGUCGUGAGUCGAUUUUUUUGUUUUGCCAUACUAUUGAAUUUUGCGGAAAUUCAAAAGUGGCUCGGGAGUCCCGCCUGGCGUGCGUCCGACUCGAACAUCGUCGGUGUACAUAUGAGAGGGAGUAAUCCGGCCCGGCCGGGGCCCAUCGCGAGCUGCCGGGUAGGUAAAAGUAAAAAAGUUGUUAAGAGGCGCGGUGUCGGCGUGCUUGUAUUUGCGGGAGAGAAUUAUCUGGGGGGUGCUGGGUAGCCGGGAAGACUUGGACGGAUCUGGCCCGGGAAUGGGUCUGGGCCUGGAUUCUGGUGUGGUGUAGGGUAGGCGUAGAUAGAUGAGUGGUCUAGGGUAGAUACAGGGUAGCCAGAAGUCUGGUAUAUAGUAUGGGGGUGUAGGGUAGGUCUGGACACCGUUUUCCACUUCGCCCUUCCCUUUCGUCGAGGGAGGACGAUCUUGGCUGGGACGGAGGUGUAGGGUAGGCUUAAUUUACGAUUACAUGAUCUGUGUCACUCUAGGGUAGGUGAAAAUCCCAUAUAUAUCUGAUCACAUUUGGUGAAGAGGUGGUUUGGCUGGUGAGAUGGACAAAAGUGCAAUGUAGAAUUAUAUGUGAUUUUGCAAAAGUGGGUGUGAAAUUGGAAAGUCGGUUUUCCCGCACAGAUGAGAGCACGUUUGAGGUGCCAUGAGAUGCACCUCUCCGAGACGACCUCAACGGUACCACCCAUGUGUUGGUCGGGCUCCUGUGCGGCCGUCCAGGGCGGGAUAAGUAGAGAAUGUGGUGGUGUAGGGUAGGUGACCAGGUCCAGGGUAGGUUCGUCAAAUCCGUCAAUCCGGCUUGAAUCGAAGGACAGGUCUAGGGUAGGCCAGAGUCGGGUGUAGGGUAGGCAACACUCACCCUCGAAGUGGUCUACCCGGUAGCCAACUUCAAUCGCCUCUCACGGCCGCCACGGACCUCGAAUGACGACGGGACUACCACCAUCGGAUUCGCCUUGGUCGAAAUAGCUGGUAUAUGCACUUUUGAAAAAAUGCGUGCAAAAUGGUUUUGUGGUUUGGUGGCCGUGAGUCGAUUUUUUUGUUUUCCCAUACAAAUGAAUUUUGCGGAAAAUAAAAAGUGGCCCACGAGGCAGUUCUGGCGUGCGGCCCACUAAAACGGUCUCGGAGGGUAUAUGAGAAGGGAGCAAAUCCGGCCGAGCCUGAAAGGGUGAGGACAAACCGGGCGAGCAACCUCUCAGUAUCAGAUCUUGCAGACUUCCACUGCGUGUCCCUCUGUACAGCUUUGCAGGCUCCGGCCUCGGCAGCGGGGGGUUCAUAGUGGUCGUCGACCUCCACGAAACUGCACGCUCCGGCGUGACAGCGUACUGGGGAUGCCUGUGUAGAUGCAGUCCGGGCUUGCCUGGACCGCUAGCAGAUGGGCUCUGUGGAUGACUGGCCGCUGGCUAGACCUGAAACCUGAGCAACGGGAGGUAACCUCUCG
RNAcentral lists this unclassified non-coding RNA (2032 nucleotides) under Fusarium nirenbergiae. RNAcentral describes it as "partial 28S-18S ribosomal RNA intergenic spacer". The record is from RNAcentral. Lineage: Eukaryota; Fungi; Ascomycota; Sordariomycetes; Hypocreales; Nectriaceae.